GUGUCUGUUCCGACAGGAGCCGACUUAAUAAGGAAGCGGGUGAAAAUCCCGCGCGGAGCCGCCGCUGUAAGGGGGAGCCGAUGCAGAUAUGCCACUGGGAAAAGGUCUUGCCUGUCCUGGGAAGGCUGCAAAGGCGUGGAACCCAAGCCAGAAGACUUGCCUGUGGGAA
This 169-nucleotide non-coding RNA is filed under the name uncultured Anaerosacchariphilus sp. Lineage: Bacteria; Bacillati; Bacillota; Clostridia; Lachnospirales; Lachnospiraceae. The record is from RNAcentral.